GACUACCCGCUGAACUUAAGCAUAUCAGUAAGCGGAGGAAAAGAAACUAACAAGGAUUCCGUCAGUAACGGCGAGUGAAGACGNNNNNGCCCAAGGUUCAAUCCUGGAUCUCUUCGAGGUCAGGAGAUUUAACCUAUGGACUGGGGGAACUCGGUGUCGGCGUCUGUUAAUUCCUUUUGGAAUUUAGAGCCAUUGAAGGUGAAAGCCCUGUUCGCGGGCGUCGACACUUAGACCAUGCCCUUAGUUCCACGAGUAGGAAUGUCUGAAAUUGCAUUCUGAAUGGGUGAUAAGAUUCAUCCAAGGCUAAAUAUAAGUUAGGAGAUCGAUAGCAUACAAGUACCGUGAGGGAAAGGUGAAAAGAACUUUGAAAAAAGGUUUAAAAGUAUUUGACACCGUUUAUGUGGAAGCGUUUACUUGGACCCCAAACGUAGAUGUCUGGUUAGCUCUAGUCCUUAGAGGAUCAAAGUAGAGUGGUAUGUGCUGAUUAAAAGGUGGCAGCCGCUUGAUUAUCAUUGGUUCUUGCUGAGGGAUGUAUUCUAAUUAGGCCAGUUACCAACACGCAAGAUUCGUCGUUUAUAAAAUGCUGGAUGAGGCCUUUAGCUUGCUAAGGGCUCGCCGGUAAUAAUGGACUUUGGGUUUUGUGAAGAUUGCAAGGCUCGGGCAAUUCACUAUGAACGGUUAUNNNNNNNNNNNNNNNNNNNNNNNNNNNNNNNNNNNNNNNNNNNNNNNNNNNNNNNNUGGCUUGCCACUUGUAUAGCUUGCGAGGCUUGGCGGUUUAAUGUUGUGGCCUUUGUAGCGCUCGAGUCCCUGUUGGAGUGGGUGCAAUAAAUGUCCCGUCUUGAAACACGGAUCAAGGAGGCCGUUUUAUGUGCGAGUGUAAGAGUUAUUAAAACUUGGACGCGUAUUGAAGGAGAGAAUAUUCCGAAAGAUCGUUCCCACGGGGGCCUUCUGUCAGGAAUACCCGAAUCAUGAGAACUCUGUUUCGAAAGGAUUUGCGGUAGAGCACAUAGAAUGGGACCCGAAAGGUUGUGAACUAUGCUUGAGGAAGGCGAAGCCAGGGGAAACUCUGGUGGAGGCUUGUCGCAAUGCUGACGUGCAAAUCGCUUGUCUAACUUGAGUAUAGGGGCGAAAGACUAAUCGAACAACCUAGUAGCUGGUUCCUUCCGAAGUUUCCCUCAGGAUAGCUGGAGCAGUAUUCUAGUUUCAUCUUGUAAAGACAAUGAUUAGCAGUUUCGGGGGCGUAAUGCUCUCAGCUGAUUCUCAAACUCUGAACAGGUGAGUCAUAUUAA
RNAcentral lists this ribosomal RNA (1289 nucleotides) under Dictyostelium purpureum. RNAcentral's name for it is "partial 26S ribosomal RNA". It matches the Rfam family "Eukaryotic large subunit ribosomal RNA", at positions 19 to 1086 of the family's 3401-position model. The record is from RNAcentral. Lineage: Eukaryota; Evosea; Eumycetozoa; Dictyosteliales; Dictyosteliaceae.